GAUGAACGCUAGCGGCAGGGCUUAACACAUGCAAGUCGAGGGGUAGAACACUUCGGGUGUUUGAGACCGGCGCACGGGUGCGUAACGCGUAUGCAAUCUACCUUGUACAGGGGAAUAGCCCAGAGAAAUUUGGAUUAAUGCCCCAUAGCAUAUUUGAAUGGCAUCAUUUAAAUAUUAAAGUUCAGGCGGUACAAGAUGAGCAUGCGUCCCAUUAGUUAGUUGGUAAGGUAACGGCUUACCAAGACAAUGAUGGGUAGGGGUCCUGAGAGGGAGAUCCCCCACACUGGUACUGAGACACGGACCAGACUCCUACGGGAGGCAGCAGUGAGGAAUAUUGGUCAAUGGGCGCAAGCCUGAACCAGCCAUGCCGCGUGCAGGAAGACGGUCCUAUGGAUUGUAAACUGCUUUUAUACAGGAAGAAACAACUCUACGUGUAGAGUCUUGACGGUACUGUAGGAAUAAGGAUCGGCUAACUCCGUG
Molecule: ribosomal RNA, 480 nt
Filed under: uncultured bacterium
Lineage: Bacteria
Description: bacterial SSU rRNA
Rfam family: Bacterial small subunit ribosomal RNA
Source: RNAcentral